This 235-nucleotide ribosomal RNA is filed under the name uncultured bacterium. RNAcentral's name for it is "partial 16S ribosomal RNA". It matches the Rfam family "Bacterial small subunit ribosomal RNA", at positions 118 to 348 of the family's 1533-position model. The record is from RNAcentral.
UGAGGAACAUGACCUUCGGCGGGGGAGUAGCCGGCCCAACGGCCGGGUAAUACCGCGUACGACCACAUGGGGACGAUCCCUGAGUGGUGAAAGCAGCAAUGCGCCGAUGGAGUGCCUCGCGGCCUAUCAGCUAGUUGGUGAGGUAACGGCUCACCAAGGCAACGAUGCGUAGCCGACCUGAGAGGGUGAUCGGCCACAUUGGAACUGAGACACGGUCCAGACUCCCUAGGGACGG